Molecule: ribosomal RNA, 695 nt
Filed under: uncultured Clostridium sp.
Lineage: Bacteria; Bacillati; Bacillota; Clostridia; Eubacteriales; Clostridiaceae
Description: bacterial SSU rRNA
Rfam family: Bacterial small subunit ribosomal RNA
Source: RNAcentral
GCCUAACACAUGCAAGUCGAGCGAUGAACAUUGAAUGAUCCCUUCGGGGUGAUUUCGAUCGGAUUAGCGGCGAACGGGUGAGUAACGCGUGAGGAACCUGCCUCUUACAACGGGAUAGCCUCGGGAAACCGGGAUUAAUACCGUAUAAGACUCCGACACCUCCUGGUGAUGAAGUCAAAGCGUUAGCGGUAAGAGAUGGCCUCGCGUCUGAUUAGUUAGUUGGCGGGGUAACGGCCCACCAAGACGACGAUCAGUAACCGGCCUGAGAGGGUGAACGGUCACAUUGGAACUGAGACACGGUCCAAACUCCUACGGGAGGCAGCAGUGGGGAAUCUUGCACAAUGGGGGAAACCCUGAUGCAGCGACGCCGCGUGAGCGAUGAAGGUUUUCGAAUCGUAAAGCUCUGUCCUAUGGGAAGAUAAUGACGGUACCAUGGGAGGAAGCCCCGGCUAACUACGUGCCAGCAGCCGCGGUAAUACGUAGGGGGCGAGCGUUGUCCGGAAUUACUGGGCGUAAAGGGUUCGCAGGCGGCAUGGCAAGUCCGAUGUAAAAGGCGAAGGCUCAACCUUCGUAAGCAUCGGAAACUGUCAAGCUUGAGUGAAGGAGAGGCAAGUGGAAUUCCUAGUGUAGCGGUGGAAUGCGUAGAUAUUAGGAGGAAUACCGGUGGCGAAGGCGACUUGCUGGACUUCAACUGA